GACGAACGCUGGCGGCGUGCUUAACACAUGCAAGUCGAACGAAGAGCGAUGGAAGCUUGCUUCUCUCAAUCUUAGUGGCGAACGGGUGAGUAACGCGUAAUCAACCUGCCCUUCAGAGGGGGACAACAGUUGGAAACGACUGCUAAUACCGCAUACGAUCUAAUCUCGGCAUCGAGGAAAGAUGAAAGGUGGCCUCUAUUUAUAAGCUAUCACUGAAGGAGGGGAUUGCGUCUGAUUAGCUAGUUGGAGGGGUAACGGCCCACCAAGGCGAUGAUCAGUAGCCGGUCUGAGAGGAUGAACGGCCACAUUGGGACUGAGACACGGCCCAGACUCCUACGGGAGGCAGCAGUGGGGAAUCUUCCGCAAUGGACGAAAGUCUGACGGAGCAACGCCGCGUGAGUGAUGACGGCCGUCGGGUUGUAAAGCUCUGUUAAUCGGGACGAAAGGCCUUCUUGCGAACAGUUAGAAGGAUUGACGGUACCGGAAUAGAAAGCCACGGCUAACUACGUG
This 510-nucleotide ribosomal RNA is filed under the name uncultured bacterium. RNAcentral's name for it is "partial 16S ribosomal RNA". It matches the Rfam family "Bacterial small subunit ribosomal RNA", at positions 28 to 507 of the family's 1533-position model. The record is from RNAcentral.